Molecule: non-coding RNA, 365 nt
Organism: Olsenella uli DSM 7084
Lineage: Bacteria; Bacillati; Actinomycetota; Coriobacteriia; Coriobacteriales; Atopobiaceae
Rfam family: transfer-messenger RNA
About the family: Bacterial tmRNA, also known as 10Sa RNA or SsrA, is named for its dual tRNA and mRNA-like properties. Its role is to liberate the mRNA from a stalled ribosome.
Source: Rfam
GGGGGUGACUGGUUUCGACAGGGUAGGUCUGAGGUGGGCAGCAAGCCGUGGUCUCCUCGCCACGUAAAACUGGGGUGCCGUCAAAUUUAAUUGACAACGAUUCUUACCAGGGCUCUUACGCCCUCGCCGCUUAAUCUAAAAGUGGCCGUCUAACCAGGGGAUUCUCCCGCUCCUGGGGUGACGUCAUCCAAGGGAGAUGCUCCUUGGGACGUAGUUGGUAUGCCCGAGGCCAAGCCUGAACCAGCUGGGACGCAGAACGUGGGUCACGGGAUGCGAUGCGUCCGAGAUCCAACCGGUGACUGAGCUUGGAGACACCUGCCAGGGAUUUGCUUUGGACCGGAGUUCGACUCUCCGCACCUCCACCA